AGUCGAACGAUAACCUCGAACUUAUUUUGUCGCAAUUUAGGAUCGGGGGACAGUGGCGAACGGGUGAGUAACGCGUAAGCAAUCUGCCUUAACUGCGGAAUAACUCUUCGAAAGAGGCGCUAAUACCGCAUGUGGUCCCGGUCUGACAUCGGACCGGGAUUAAAGAUGUGUCUCGCUUGCGGGAUAUGUCGGUUAAGGAUGAGCUUGCGUCCUAUUAGCUUGUUGGUAGGGUAAUGGCCUACCAAGGCUUUGAUGGGUAGCUGGUCUGAGAGGAUGGUCAGCCACACUGGGACUGAGACACUGCCCAGACUCCUACGGGAGGCUGCAGUCGAGAAUCAUCCGCAAUGGGCGAAAGCCUGACGGUGCGACGCCGCGUGGAGGAUGAAGGCCUUCGGGUUGUAAACUCCUUUCACUCGGGAAGAAAAAUCAUUUCGUGAAUAACGGGAUGACCUGACGGUACCGAGAGAAGAAGCCCUGGCUAACUCCGUGCCAGCAGCCGCGGUAAUACGGAGAGGGCUAGCGUUGUUCGGAUUUACUGGGCGUAAAGGGUAUGUAGGUGUCUUGAUAAGCUCUGGGUGAAAUCUCCGCGCUCAACGCGGAAACGAAUCAGAGAACUAUCAGGAUUGAGUUCAGGAGAAGAGAGUGGAAUUCUCGGUGUAGCGGUGAAAUGCGUAGAUAUCGAGAAGAACACCAGCGGCGAAGGCGGCUCUCUAUUCUGAAACUGACACUCAAAUACGAAAGCGUGGGGAGCGAAUGGGAUUAGAUACCCCAGUAGUCCACGCUGUAAACGAUGUGCACUUGGUGUAUUCCAUUUAAUGGGGUGUGCCGGAGCUAACGCGUUAAGUGCACCGCCUGGGGAGUACGGCCGCAAGGCUAAAACUCAAAUGAAUUGACGG
This 896-nucleotide ribosomal RNA is filed under the name uncultured bacterium. Its description in RNAcentral is "bacterial SSU rRNA". It matches the Rfam family "Bacterial small subunit ribosomal RNA", at positions 60 to 916 of the family's 1533-position model. The record is from RNAcentral.